UACGUAGGGUGCAAGCGUUAAUCGGAAUUACUGGGCGUAAAGCGUGCGCAGGCGGUUUGGUAAGACAGAUGGGAAAUCCCCGGGCUUAACCUGGGAACUGCAUUUGUGACUGCCCGGCUAGAGUGUGUCAGAGGGGGGUAGAAUUCCACGUGUAGCAGUGAAAUGCGUAGAUAUGUGGAGGAAUACCGAUGGCGAAGGCAGCCCCCUGGGAUAACACUGACGCUCAUGCACGAAAGCGUGGGGAGCAAACAGG
RNAcentral lists this ribosomal RNA (253 nucleotides) under uncultured bacterium. RNAcentral's name for it is "partial 16S ribosomal RNA". It matches the Rfam family "Bacterial small subunit ribosomal RNA", at positions 524 to 776 of the family's 1533-position model. The record is from RNAcentral.